CUUAAUUCUUUUCGUUGUACUCAUUGCUUCUCUUCCUCUUUUCGUCAACGACAAUGGGUAACCUAAUCUCAACCUUCUUACCAGCAGACUUAUUUGAUCGAAUUUCAAACUGCGUUGGUGAACAAGCAAAAUAUGUAUGGGGUCUCGAAAAAAAUCUUCGGAUCUUGGAGACUGAAUUGCACAAAUUGACUCGAGCAAGGGCCGAUCUGAAGACCAGGGUUGAGGUCGAACAACAACGACCUCGAACCAGACGAACGAACCAGGUCGCAGGGUGGCUUGAAGAUGUGCAAAAUCUGGAAACUGAAUUUGCCGAGCUGGAACGAGUCAGAGCUCAAGAAAUGGAUAGAUUGUGCCUUGGAGGCCUCUGUUCCAAAAACUUCGUUUUAAGCUACAAUUACGGGACUAAGGUGGUCGAGUUGACGGAUCGAGUGAUCAAUUUAAAGAAAGACGGAGAAAAAAUUGAAGUCGUUGUUGAGAAGGCGCCGGAUGGUGCAGCAAUUGAAUUACCUCUUGAUCACACAGUUGUUGGUCAAGAACUAUUACUUGGUCAAGUUUGGAGAUGUAUCACUGAUCAGGAAAAGAACAGGGGAAUUAUCGGCUUGUAUGGUAUAGGGGGAGUCGGCAAAACUACCCUUUUAAAACAAGUCAACAACAACUUCUGCCAUCAACAGCAUAAUUUUGAUGUUGUUAUCUGGGCGGCUGUGUCAACACUUCAAGAUGACAUUGGAAAAAGGAUUGGCUUUUCAGAAGACAGAAACUGGAAGGAAAAAAGUCUUCAAGACAAGGCUGUGGACAUCGCUAGCAUUCUAAGCGGAAAGAAGUUUGUGUUGUUAUUAGAUGAUAUAUGGGAGCCCAUUGAUUUAACACAGCUGGGUGUCCCUCUUCAAAAUCUAAAUGAUGGGUCCAAAAUAGUCUUGACAACUCGUUCAGCUGGGGUUUGCGAUCAAAUGGACGCUGAAAAGGUGGAAGUGUCUAGUUUGGCACAUGAUGAAGCCUGGAAAUUAUUUCAGGAGAUGAUCGAAAGAUCCACUCUUGACAGUCAUACCAGUAUUCCAGGGCUAGCCGAAACCCUGGCAAGAGAGUGUGGUGGGUUGCCGCUAGCGCUUAAAACAGUGGGUCGAGCCAUGAAAAGCCAAAGGAAAGUUGGAGAUUGGAAACGUGCAAUUCACAAAAUGACAACAUCAGCUUCUAAAUUCUCAGGUAUGAAAGAAGAGGUGUUUUCGCGUUUAAAGUUCAGCUAUGAUAGUUUGUCUACGGAUGAACUUCGUUCCUGUCUCCUGUAUUGCUGUUUGUAUCCUGAAGACUACGAAAUUCCUAAAAGGCAAUUGAUUGAUUAUUGGAUUAGUGAAGGAUUUGCGUGUGAUUUUGAUGAUGGAUGCGAUUUUAUUGAUGACCUUCUUCAUGCAUGCUUAUUGGAGGAAGAAGGCGAUGAUCAUGUAAAGACGCACGAUAUGAUUCGUGAGAUGUCAUUAUGGAUAGCGUGCACGGUAGACAAGGAGGAGCAGAACUUUCUGGUUCGCGCUGGAGUUGAAUUGACCGAAGCACCAAAGGUUGAAGAAUGGGAAGGUGCCAAACGGGUAUCUCUGAUGGAAAAUAAAAUUGAAAGCCUAUCGGAAAUUCCCACGUGUCCGCGUCUCGUAACUUUACUGCUGGAUGAAAAUCGGAUUGAGGAGAUCACUGAUGGCUUCUUUCAAUCUAUGUCGUCUCUUAGAGUAUUAAGUCUAAGAGGAAAUUUUCCCCUAAGUACACUACCUUCGGGGAUUUCAGGUUUGGUUUCAUUGCAUCAUCUUGAUCUAUCAUCGACUCACAUAACUGGGUUGCCGCAAGAGCUGAAGGCGUUGGAGAAGUUGAGAUAUUUGAACUUGGACUAUACAGAGUACUUGUCCAUAAUUCCACAUCAAUUGAUAUCUGGCUUUUCAAAGUUGGAGGAACUCAGGUUGUUUGCGUCCGGUCGCUGGGGCGUAAUAGAGGAAGAAGAAGGUAACGUUCUAUGUGAUGAUGCUGAACCUUUGAUGAAGGAAUUGCUGGGUUUGAAGCAUUUAAAUGUUUUAAGCUGGUCCUUCCGAAGUUCACUUGCUGUCCAAAAGUUUUUGAAAUAUCCAAAGCUGGUUAGCAUCACUCAAUCUGUAUGGGUUGAAUGUGGCAUGUAUACAAGGCCACCGUUCAAUGUCUUACAUCUAGCAUAUAUGGAGAAUCUUCAGGAGUUGCGUCUUUCUCAGAGUGAUUUGGAGGAGAUGAAGAUUGACAGCACAGAAGAGGUGAAGAAGCUUUUUCAAAGUGGUUUCCGCAGUCUCGACACAGUUGAUCUAUUUUAUUGCCAAAAAGCGAAGGACUUAACGUGGCUUGUUUUUGUUCAAAACCUCAAGGAGCUGCGUAUAGUGUAUUGUGAAUACGUGGAAGAAAUUAUCGGGGCUGAUAAAUUGAGAGAUAUUUCAGAGAUAGUGGGGUCAGAGCAUAACGUUUUCGCAGAACUCGAAUUUCUAUCCUUAUGGGGGGGAAUAAAUUUAAAGAGCGUUUACCCGAAUCCCCUGCCCUUUCCAAAGUUGAAGAAAAUUCAAGUACUUCAUUGCCGACAGCUGAAGAAGCUCCCACUCAAUUCCAGCAGCGCGAAGUUACGUCGAGCUGUCAUCGAGGGAACGAAAAAGUGGUGGGAAGAGCUACAAUGGGAGGAUCAAGCCACCCAAAAUGCUUUCUCUUCCGGUGCCGUACUUACUGAGUUUCCUUUUUAUUAAUAUGUUUUAAUAUGUAUUUCUUUUUCUUUUCUUUUUUUAAUUUUCAUUAGAUUUAAUUGCAUCUUGUUCUUGUUGUCUGGUGUGUCAAUCGUUCCCUACUUUCAGUUAAUAAAAUUUCAGCAGUGGAUUCUUGGUUUAUUAAUGUUUAUAUAACUGAAUUGUUCAGCAGAUGUACUCUGCACGACUAACACAGAAAUAAACACAGAAAUAAAUAUAUGUAAGGGGUUACAGGACUGACUCUGCUUCUGGCUUCUAAGGAGAAAGAGGGGAAAAUAAACAUUUUAUCUUCCCUUAACUGCUCUCCUUUGGUUUGAAUGUGAACUUAACACUCUUUUAUUAUUAAAAUUUAAUUAUUUGGUUGUAUAAUAUAUUUCUCCAAUAAACGAAGAAUGAUAAAGGAGCAACUAAAAAAACCCAUCAAAAUAUUUCACCAAUGAAAAGAUUCAUGAGAAAUAAACAUUAUAAUCCGAACAAAUAAAUCAAUUAGUCAAUAUAUCAUUUAGCCGAAUUAAAGACGCUGCUUGCGCUUCGUAGUUCUGAGCUUAGAAUCAAGUAGAGAACUGAAUAUGAAAUUUUUAAUUGCUGAGAAUAUGAAUUUGAGGUUGAUGGACGACUUGAAAGAGAGGGACAAGAAAGAAUGAUACAGAGCAGGUGGCUGGCAAAAGGGACCUUAUGACGAUCUUCUUCAGUACAGCUAUGAUGCCGCUUCCACCUUCAAUUGAAUGUCAGAAAAUUCAAAGUUUGUCAAAAGAGGAUGGUAAAUUAAGCUGUUUUUUUUUUUUCUUUUUUGCAAAAUUUACCAAGUGAAUUAAUCCAUUAUUUUAUCUAUCAAUCAGUACACAAUCUACAUUACCCCACGCUAACAAAACACUGACUAUAAAUCUAUGACUAUACAAUGCGCACUUUGGUUACUGCCCCAGCCCUCUUACCCAAAAGAACCACAAAAGCAACGAAAAACUAAAUUGAUUACAUAAUCAAAUCAAGUUCUUCUUAGCUACUGUGAUCGAUUUGUCCAGCACCAUCAGUUAAUUUCUCUAGUUUUCAGCAAAAAUGGUCGAGUUCUUGAGUCUUCUUUGCACGUUUCAUCUCAUUUAUUCUGUCGAUAAAGCUUAUACACAUCAUCCGCAACGACAACAAAUUAAAUUAAUAUGUGUCGAGUUUUGGAGCCAGAGCCAGCGGUGCAAGCGCAAGAGAAAGGGACUUCACACAAGAAUUUGCCAGACCAUGGGCUACAGAAAGGUGCCUCACUUCACGGACGCGGAAUUUGGUUGGCUCCUGGGCCAUUAAGGGUGAAUGCAUCUUUCUUUUUAUGUGAAUUUAAUUAUUGAACCCGGUAUCUUGAAUAAAUAUAAAUUUGACUGUAGCACCAAGUAUCAAUGAUUGCAAAAUGUAAAUUUGACAUAUUGUGUGGUUAAAUCAUCUUGUACUAAUCGUUUAUGUUAAUUUAUGGAGGCCUUAAUGUCCAAGGCAUACGUAAAGGGGUACAGGACUGACUCUGCUUCUGGCUUCUAAGGAGAAUGAGGGGAAAAUUUUAUAAACAUUUGUGGAGUGGCCGUAUAAAGGACGUGUGGUUCUCAAUCCAUUUCACAUUUGGCAUUGUAAUGUUUAUGGACUCAUAUAAAUGAUGUCACACAAAUAGUUAAACGAAGAAGGUGUUUGAUGAAAACGAAAGGGCCUUUUUCUUUUUUUAAAUCCCGCUAAAGGUUAUAAUUAACAACAAAUUAAUAAUAGAAGAGAGAGAAAUACCAAGUUCAAUACGGUAAUAUUUUAUCUUCCUUUUAACUGCUCUCCUUUGGCUUAUAAUGCGACCUUUACACUCGUGGACAAAAUUGUAUUUGUCGCUUAAGUCUUGCUUGUUUUAAAAUGCUGGCAUAUUUAUGGAGUGGGAACCCAGAUGCUGAACUCAUAGUAAAUAUUUAUUUAAUUUGUUAGAAUUAUUUUUGGUGGGAUAAUUUUAAAUAUUAAUUUAACAAGAUAGUGAUGUUUGCCUUGCCCUACAUGGAAAAAAUAAUAAUAAUUAAAGUUUUUUCUGUUCCUUUAUAUUAGUAAUAGAUUUCAGAUGGGAAACAGAAAAUUUAUUUCUGUUUCAAUAAUUACCAUAUCACUGUGUGCGUGCGUGAUCACAUAAUUUUGUACUACCGUCUGUGGAAUAACUUUAGGAAAAGAAAAUUAAUUUUUUUUAAGUAACAAUAAAUAUUUUAAAUUGUUUUCUUCUCUUAUCAAUUGUUUUUUUCUCCUAUCUUCCAAUGAAAGUGCAGGACCUCAAUUAUUUUAAUAGAGAUGUAGUAAUAAAUUAUUAGGGGAUCCAUAAAAUAAAUAUACAUGGUUUCAAAAAAGUUAGCACAUGCUUGUUACAAAUAUAAAAAAUUAUCUUAAAAGUCUCGGAACUUUUGUGUUCUCUUUAAUAUUUUUUUCUUAUGUUGUUAUUGUACUAUAUGGAUACAAGGGUGCGUUUGGUACGUUGUAUUAUAUUAUGUUGUAUUGCAUUAUUUUAAUAUAGGUAUAUUACAUUAUGUUGUGUUGUAUUAGUAAUGUAUUAUAAUAAUGUUGUACAAUGUUUGGUACUAUACUGUAUUGUAUUAAUUUUUAAUUAAUAUUAUUCAAAUGUAUUCAUAUUUAAAUAUUUAUUAUUAGUUAUAUUAAAUUAUUUAAAAAUAACUAGUUUAAUUAUUUUAAUAUAAUUAAAUAAUAUUAUAAUAUAUUAUAUUAUUUAAGUAUUUAUUAUUAGUUAUAUUAACUUAUUAAAAAUUAAUCAAUUAUAUAUAUUAAUUAAUAUAAUUUUACAUAUUAAUUAAUAUAAUAUAAUUAAAUAAUACAUUUUUUAGUUGUACAUUUACUAUAAUAAAAAUUAAAAUAUAAUAUAAUAUUAAAUUAAAAAUUAUAUUCAUUUAUUAUUAUUACAAAGUAUAAAAAAAAAAAAAAAAGGAAGCUAAAGCUAAUGCGGUAACUGGACACAUUAGCUAAACCCGACUAUAACAUAUGUCGGGUUUAGCUAAUACAACCAUUUGGUACCUCAGACAUGGUGCUGCAUUGCUAAUGCAAUGUAAUCCCAGGUAAAGAGGGGUACCAGACAACCCCCAAGUUCACUUAAUGUAACAUAACAUACUUUUUUUUUCUAUAUAUAUAUAUACACUACGUGGAAGUGAGCUCCUUAAGGUGAGAUUUAGCAAAAUUAUAAAUUAUUACAGCAUGAAAUUUAUUUUUAUUUAUAAUUGGCCUAAUAUAAAUUAGGACCAGUACUUUUAUAGCUAUAUGAAAUUAUUUUUAUAUAAAAUAUCACUACAUAAAUGUUUUAUUACAAUAUUAAUCUCUUUUUUUUAUUGUAUUUAUCUCUUCAUAAUCUUUUCCUUUUUAUAAAAAAAAAAAAUCAACUAAAAGAUUCAUCAACAUCUCAUUCCAACAAUCUACUAGCGAAAAUGAGUGUCCAUGCUUUUGAACCAAGGCCCGAUAUGUGAGGGAGAGAUUGUUGGGUUGUCUUACAUCGGUUGUGAACUAGGAUGGUGGUGAUUUUACAAGUGUGAGGGAAAGUCUCACCCCUUAUCCAUCUUUUGGGUUGGGAUUGAAUGAGACCCAAAACCGCUUAACAUGAAUUCUAUCACUGGGAUUUUUACCCAGUAUAACAAACAUAACAACACAAUGAAUUAUCAAUUUAUCACGUAAUGGCUCUAACUUUAGCGAUGAUCACCUUACAUGAACAUGAAAAUUAAUCCCAUUGUUUAACUCAACAAUGACGAUAAUCACUUAAACUCUUAUGCACCAAAGGAUAUACUCGCUACAGGGAAUCUUAACUCAUAAAGAUUAAUUUUAGUGGGGGGCAAAAGAGCACGAGUGAUCCAAACCACUAAACAACAUCAUAACCAACACAAAAUUUAUACUAAACAAACCAUUACCAAAACAGCAAAGCUAGACAUAAAUUUGAACAGAUACACAAGCUACAUUCAUUACCAUAAUGUAUCGACUAAAUUUCCAAGCUCUACAUUUUGAACAAAGAAUUUAUAAAAUUACAUAAUCUAAUAAAUUAAUAUAGAAAUAAAAUUGGCAUCAGAUCAAAUUACUAUUAAUGUACCUUGCAUAAACCAUUCUCUUCUAUCGGCAUUCACCUCCGCGCUCGAUUGGCUCUCCUGUGCUGCUUGUCUAAUUGAUUCAAAUCCACAUAGACAAAUUUAAGCAUAUUAAGUUUUCAAACUCAAAUCAACAGCUUUAAAAGUUACUUCACAAACAAUGAAUUUCAUUUUCGAAAUACAAAGAAUCCGUUCAGUUUAAAACAAUAAAAAAUCGUCUACGACUACUCAACUCAUGUAUGAUAACUAAAAAACGAAGGAUACCCACAAAAAUUAAAGAUAAAUUACCAAAAACCCAAAAAACUCAAGCCAAAAUUGCCAAAAAAAAAGCGAGAGAAUGGAAAUUGGCGUACCAGGGGCAGGAGAGAGGAAACGAGAAGAGGAAGAAAGAAGGGUUUUGGAGAGAGUGGGAAUUAGUGGAGGCAAAAAUGGAGAGUUUUGAGAGUGAGAUGAUUGGUGGGGUGGUGAUGGCGGUGGUGGGGUUAAUGUUCUGGAGGGUAUGCUGAAGAGAGGUCGCAAGAGAACCUCCAUAGCCUUUAAAGAGAGUUGAGUUGCUGCUUUCUUUUGCCGUGGAUGGAGAGAGAUUAAGGGAUUAGAAUUCUGUAUUGAAUUAAUUUUUUAUUAAAUAAAAAAUUAUUGUUAAAAUUUAUUUUAUUUUAAUUUUUUAUCUAGCUAUCAUUGACUUAAUAUUUUGAAUCUUUAUCCAAAGUUAAGGCACAAAAUUUUUAUUCUAAAUAAAUAUUCUCAAUAUAAAUAUAUCACUUAAAUAAUAAUGAUAAGAUUUAAUAUUAAUUCUGUCAUUACUGAAAGAAUUACAAAUUUUAUAUGACGUGCAAACGUAUCAUUAUAUUCUUGAUAUUUGAAACAUGAAUAAAGCAACAAAUGUAUCAUAUUUUUAUUUUGGUGUUGUGGUUCUCUAAAAAUUGUUGAAAGCAGCAGCUGUGAAGAGUCAACGGUUGACCUUGAUUCUGUGAGUUGGAUUUGUUGAGCUGGCAAAACUGUUAUGUUGAAGAAUAGCAGCGCAUGUGCAUUGAAUAGUUGCAUCUUCUAGAAGCUUAAUGUGAUUGGUUCACAAUUGCUAUAUUCACGGAUCAAUUUUGAUUACUUCCGUGUAAUACCCCUUAGGCUAGCUGUCAUUAUUUUUUGUCUCUGUAUGUAAACUAGCAAAGCUCUGUAUUUCAUUUUCAUUCAAGUCAUCAUUAUCAAUAAAGACCUGAUUCUCAUACUCUGUUUGCAUUUGACAGCAAUUCUUAAGAAUUUAAGUAAAAAUUAGCUUAAUUCUUUUCAUUGUACUCGUUGCUUCUCUUCCUCUUUUCGCCAACGACAAUGGGUAACCUAAUCUCAACCUUCUUACCAGCAGACUUAUUUGAUCGAACUUCAAACUGCGUUGGUGAACAAGCAAAUUAUGUAUGGGGUCUCGAAAAAAACCUUCGGGUCUUGGAGACUGAAUUGCACAAAUUGACUCGAGCAAGGGACGAUCUGAAGACCAAGGUUGAGGUCGAAGAACAGCGACGUCGAACCAGACGAACGAACCAGGUCGCAGGGUGGCUUGAAGAUGUGCAAAAACUGGAAACUGAAUUUACCGAGCUGGAACGAGUUAGAGCUCAUGAAAUCGAUAGAUUGUGCCUUGGAGGCCUCUGUUCCAAAAACUUCGUUUCAAGCUACAAUUACGGGACUCAGGUGGUCGAGUUGACGGAUCGAGUGAUCAAUUUAAAGAAAGACGGAGAAAAAAUUGAAGUCGUUGUUGAGAAGGCGCCAGAUGGUGCAGCAAUUGAAUUACCUCUUGAUCACACAGUUGUUGGUCAAGAACUAUUACUUGAUCAAGUUUGGAGAUGUAUCACUGAUCAGGAAAAUAAUAGGGAAAUUAUCGGCCUGUAUGGUAUCGGGGGAGCCGGCAAAACUACCCUUUUAAAACAAGUCAACAACAACUUCUGCCAUCAACAGCAUAAUUUUGAUGUUGUUAUCUGGGCGGCUGCGUCAACACUUCAAGAUGACAUUGGAAAAAGGAUUGGCUUUUCAGAAGACCAAAGCUGGGAGAAAAAAAGUCCUCAAGACAAGGCUGUGGACAUCGCUAGCAUUUUAAGCAGAAGGAAGUUUGUGUUGUUAUUGGAUGAUAUAUGGAAACCCAUUCAUUUAACAGAAUUGGGUGUCCCUCUUCAAAAACUAAAUGAUGGGUCCAAAGUAGUCUUGACAACUCGUUCAGCUGGUGUUUGCGAUCAAAUGGACGCUGAAAAGGUGGAAGUGUAUAGUUUGGCGCAUGAUAAAGCCUGGGAAUUAUUUCAGGAGAUGGUCGACAGAUCCACUCUUGACAGUCAUACCGGUAUUCCAGAGCUAGCCGAAACCUUGGCAAGAGAGUGUGGUGGGUUGCCGCUAGCGCUUAAAACAGUGGGUCGAGCCAUGAAAAGCCAAAGGAAAGUUGGAGAUUGGAAACGUGCAAUUCACAAAAUGAGAACAUCAGCUUCUAAAUUCUCAGGUAUGAAAGAAGAGGUGUUUUCGCGUUUAAAGUUCAGCUAUGAUAGUUUGUCUACGGAUGAACUUCGUUCCUGUCUCCUGUAUUGUUGUUUAUAUCCUGAAGACUACGAAAUUCCUAAAAGGGAAUUGAUUGAUUAUUGGAUUAGUGAAGGAUUUGUAUAUGAUUUUGAUGAUGGAUGUGAUUUUAUUGAUGACCUUCUUCAAGCAUGCUUAUUGGAGGAAGAAGGCGAUGAUCAUGUAAAGAUGCACGAUAUGAUUCGUGAGAUGUCAUUAUGGAUAGCGUGCACGGUAGACAAGGAGGAGGAGAACUUUCUGGUUCGCGCUGGAGUUGAAUUGACCGAAGCACCAAAGUUUGAAGAAUGGGAAGGUGCCAAACGGGUAUCUCUGAUGGGAAAUGGAAUUAGGAGCUUAUCGGAAAUUCCCACGUGUCCGCGCCUCUUAACUUUACUUCUGGGUGGAAAUCGGAUUGAGGAGAUUACUGAUGGCUUCUUUCAAUCGAUGUCUUCUCUUAGAGUAUUAAGUCUAAGAGGAAAUUUUCCCCUAAGAACACUACCUUCAGGGAUUUCAGGUUUGGUUUCAUUACAUCAUCUUGAUCUAUCAUCGACUAACAUAACUGGGUUGCCGCAAGAGCUGAAGGCGUUGGAGAAGUUGAGAUAUUUGAACUUGGACUAUACACGGUUUUUGUCUAUAAUUCCACAUCAAUUGAUAUCUGGUUUUUCAAAGUUGGAGGUACUCAGGUUGCUUUCACGCGGUCGCUGGAGCGUAAUAGAAGGUAACGUUCUAUGUGAUGAUGCUGAACCUUUGAUGAAGGAAUUGCUGGGUUUGAAGCAUUUAAAUGUUUUAAGCUGGACCUUCCGAAGUUCACUUGCUGUCCAAAAGUUUUUGAAAUAUCCAAAGCUGGUGAGCAUCACUCAAUCUGUAAUGGUUUGCCAAUGUGAAAGUCCACCGUUCAAUGUCUUACAUCUAGCAUACAUGGAGAAUCUUCAGGAGUUACGCAUUUCAGACAGUAAUUUGGAAGAGAUGAAGACUGACAGCACAGAAGAGGUAAAGAAACUUUUUCAAAGUGGUUUCCGCAGUCUCGACAGAGUUGUCAUAUGGAGUUGCCAAAAAAUGAAAGACUUAACGUGGCUAGUUUUUGUUCAAAUUCUCAAGCAGCUGCGUAUAGUCUUUUGUACAGAAAUGGAAGAAAUAAUUAGUGUUGAUAAAUUGAGAGAUAUUUCGAAGAUAAUCGGGUCAGAGCAUAACUUUUUUGCACAACUCGAAUCUCUAACCAUAAAGUGGGGAAGAAAUUUAAAGAGCGUUUACCCGAAUCCCCUGCCCUUUCCAAAGCUGAAGAAAAUUGAAGUACGUGAAUGCCCACAGCUGAAGAAGCUCCCACUCAAUUCCAGCAGCGCGAAGGAACGUCGAGUUGUCAUCGAGGGGUCGAAAAAAUGGUGGGAAGAGCUACAAUGGGAGGACCAAGCCACCCAAAAUGCUUUCUCUUCCGGUGUCGUACUUGGGGAUGAUUUUCAUUAAUAUGUUUGAAUAUGUAUUUCUUUUCUUUUUCUUUUUUUUUUUAAUUUUCAUUAGAUUUAAUUGCAUCUUGUUGUUGUUGUCUGGUGUGUCAAUCGUUAUCUAUUUUCAGUUAAUAAAAUUUCAGCAGUGGAUUCUUGGUUUUAGAAUCCUCCCACUGGAAAGAAUUUCUCCUUUGGCUUGAAUGCGACCUUUUUACUCGUCGACAAAAUUGUAUUUGUCGCUUAAGUCUUGUUUGUUUUAAAAUGCUGGCAUAUUUAUAGAGUGGGAACUCAGAUGCUGAACUCAUAGUAAAUAUUUAUUUAAUUUGUUAUAAUUAUAUUUGGUGAGAUAUUUAUUCAAUAAUUGCCCUAUCACUUUGUGCAUGAUCACAGAAUUUUGUACUUCCGUCUGUGAAAUAACUUUUGGAAAAGGAAAUUAAUUUUUUUAAGUAACGGUAAAUAUUUUAAAUUUUUAUUUUAAAUUUUAUUUUAAAUAAUAUAGUAUGUAAUGUGUCAUUUAUUUAGUGAUUGAUAAUUUAAUAUAGGAUUUAAAUAAAUUAAUUAUGCUAUUUUAUUAUUUAAUUAAUAAAUAUUAUAUAAUUUAAAAUAGAUUUUUGAGAUAAAAAUUAUAAAAGUAAAAUUCUACUCAACAGACUAAAUUUAAAAUGAUGUGAUUGGCAGGUAAGACUUAAGAAUUAGACAAAAUUUCUCAUUCAACAGCUUGUAGAAAAUUUAUACACUAGGCCUUAGCUAAACUUGGACUUGUCGUAUGUUUGAAGUAUUCGACGAUAAUCAUAUCUGCAUUUUGUGAAAUAAUUAAGAUUUUUUAUUUUUGGUUUGUUUAGGGCUUUUCAUCGGUCUUCGUCUUGGUCUUUGUCCUGGUCUUGGCGUCUUGCUAUCAAAUCAAGUGUUCUCUUCUCCCAUCCUCUAAUGAAAGUGCAGGGCCUCAAUUAUUUGUGCUGAGCUGUUUGUUACUGCUAUCACUUUAGAGGUUGAUGCUAAUGUCCAAAGGUCACAUUUAAUUUGCUUGAAUGCGACCUUUAUUUUGGUUGACAAAGAUUAUUUGGUUGCAAAGAUUAUAAUUAACAACAAGCUAAUAUCUAUAUAGUAGAGAGAGAAAUAACAAAUUCAAUGUUGGUAAAAUUUUAUCUUCCCUUCACUGCUCUCCUUUGCUGCAAUCAAGCUACAGUUGUAAAGUGUUUGAUAAACACUAAUUGUUGUGUCUUGAAAGAUAUGUUGAUAUAAUUUUUCACUUGUAUAAUAGAGAAUCUAUUAUGUUAUUAUUAAUAAUUUCGUCAAAAUUAUUAUUUAAAAUUUUAUAUUUAAUAAAUAUUAUUAACUUUUGUUUUAUAGUUACAAUUUUUUUUUUUUUUACAACAACUGUUGCUUAAAAAUUAUAACACUUCAAUUCCAAACAUACCUUAAGUCUAUAAGGCAUAAGUUUUCACUCUUCAGAAAGGUGUUUGAUGGAAAUGUAAAGAAGUUCGAUGAAAUGUCUCACCUACACAACCAAGCCACUUAACAUUGCAGUCUUAUAAUACGAAUUCCUGCCUUCUCUUCCAUUUUCACAAACAUAAUUCUUUCUUUCUCACUUUAUUUUCUUCCUUGAAAUUUUUGUUAACAAAAAUGGGUAACAUCAUUCUCAUGCGUGCUUCUUAUCACCAGACUCAAUUCUUGCAGUUUUAUUUUAUUUUAUUUUAUUUUUCCUUCGUGGAGAUGCUAAAAUAUAUAUGAGAUCUAAAAAGCUAAUCUUGAUGAGUUGCAGAAUCCAAUGCAGAAUUUGAAAGUUACAAAAGAUUAUAAAUACUAUUUUAACUUGUAAGCUUCCAUUGCUAUACAGUGAGGUAUGUCUAGAUAUCAUUUUGGUCUUUUAUAUAUUGGGUUCCAGUGAAAGACUUUUGUUCUAGUUGAAUUUAAUUUUGUCUUUGUAUUUACAGACAAACUAUUAGGGACAUUUAUCAUACAUAUUUGGCUAGUUCGCCGUGGAAAAAUAAUAAUAGUUGAAAAGACAUAGGGUACUUUUUAUUUUCCUUUAUAUUACUAAUAGAUUUCCCACGCGCAACAGACGAAGUCAUUGCUGCUUCAAUAAUUGCCCUAUCACUGUGUUCAUCAUCACAAAUUUCUUUAUUACGUUUGUGAAAUAACCUUAGCAUAACAAAAUUACUCCUCCUUUUUAACUAAUAAUAGAUAUCUCAAAUUUUAUUUUCAGAAUAUGGUAUGUAAUGUAAGUGAUUGAUAGUUCUUUAUAAAAUAUAUAAAUAAAUUAAUAGUGUUUUCUUAGUGUCUAAUAUAUAUAAAUCACUUGCUCCAUAUAUUGCACUAUUGAUAUGGGCUAAAGUUUUAUACUAUGAGACCCAAUUUCUAUAAUUUACACUAUAAGUUACAAGUAUUUAGGAAAAUACUAUUGCAAAUCAGAAGGUAUUAUCUAUUUUAUACCUAAAGCAUUUCACUAUUUAAGACUAGUAAAACUUCUAUAUUAUUAUAAUAUUUGAAUCAAACACCAAUAAGCGAGUAAAUCAGGUGGAAUGAGAAUGUUCUAACUUAACCAAGGUCCUCGGUUUGAAACUUAGAAAUGCAACUACAUUAAAUACUUAUUGGGAGAGAUUUGCCGCUUUAGUGGUCCUAUCCCGCUUGAAUCUAGAUUAGUCGGGGAUCUAAUGUGGUCUUUGGAUACUAGAUGAUUUAAAAUACCGAUAAUAUUGGAACCAAACUAAUUUACAAUUAUGAAGAUGUUAUAAUUUAAUAGAGGCAUAGUAACAAACUAUUAAUAGAGCGUAUAAAAUUUAAUGUAUAAACAAAAUUCUAUAAUUUACACUAUAAGUUGCAAGUAUUUAGGUCAAUACUAUUGCAAAUCAGAAGAUAUUAUCUAUUUUAUGCCGAAAAUAUUUCCACUAUUUAAGGAUAGUAAAACUUCUAUAUAAUUAUAAUAUUGGAACCAAACACCAACAAGCGAGUAAAUCAACUAGAAUGGAAAUGUUCUAACGUCAAGGUCCUCGGUUCAAAACUUAGAAAUGCAACUACAUUAAAUAUUUAUUGGGAGAGAUUUGCCGCUCUAGUAGUUCUAUCCGGGUCGAAUCUGGAUUAGUCGGGAAUCUAAUGUGGUCUUUGGAUACUAGAUGAUUUAAUGUACCAAUAAUAUUGGAACCAAACUAAUUUACAAUUAUGAGGAGGUUAUAAUUUAAUAGAGGCGUAGUAACAAACUAUUAAUAGAGUGUAUCAAAUUUAAUAUUGGAAUCCGAUGAUUGGUUGCAACAUAAGAUAUUUGUAAGCUUAGUUAAAGGUUCAUUAAAAAUUAUAGAGAUAUAUAAUUUCGCAGUCGAUGAAGCCGUGCAUGAGGUUAAGGCAAGUGAUGGAAUGACUUGCGUUACAAAAGAGGUAUGUGAAGUUGCACUAUAAAAAUAAAAUAAAUUUGUAUUUUCAAGUAGUGAAGGUGUAGUUAGUUUAUUUGCGGUAGCAGUUUCACAGCUGACAGAUGAACAAAGAGUGGUUGCUUGUCAAAUGGGCUUUGGUAGUUUGCGACAACUGAACCUUGGCAAGCUAAAAAGGAAACUUUGUGGCUAGUUAAUUGAGAUGAUUGAUACUUUGAGGUACAUUUUAGAGUUGAAUGGUAUUAGCUUUCAAACAAGAUCAUCAAAGAAACUCUACCAACUAGGAAAUUUAAACUUAAUCUAUGCUCCGCAAAUUCGAAUAUUCUCUAAUAUGAAACUACUUUUAUGUGUUUUAUUAUUCCUAGCUUUUACCGACUUGGUAACGUUGUUAUGGAAGCACGACAACUAUUAUGUCCGUGUAAUUUUUAUUGUAUCUUUUGUUAUGUCAUGAUAUCGAAGCUUAGUUUUAUGACUCUAACUACUAAGAACUGCAAUUGCAGCAUCUUUUGAAUAUUACAUAUGUGCUUGUAGUAUCUCGACGGAUUAAAACCUGCUAUUUAAGUUCUUCUACCCCCUCCCCCCCUUCAUUCUUUCAUUUAUACUUGCUGCACUAUUUACUUCGCACUCUGUAAAGCCAGAUGAAAGCUUGUUCAUUUAUGUUCACUUGCAAUUCAAAAGCACAGUUUAUUUCAACUGUCAAAUUGACAACUUGCACGUAUAGAUUUCAGUCGAAACAAGGUUAUUGGUCGAUCAAGAAAUUGAAUCCAUAUGGCCGUUCCAGCGUUAUUCAACUACCUAAUAUCAAAUAUAUAAAUUAAUUCAACCCACUUCUGUGUCAAAGGCAUGGAACAAAUUAUGAAAGAUUUUUCAGCUAUCAUAAAUUCGAACGAGUGUAGUUUGUAUCCUUUCGAACUUAGACAGAUUUUCCUUCCAUUAACCUUAUAGUGUUAGUAAUCCUAUUACUUGUUUUUAAAGCUUGAAUAGUAUACCGAAAUUUUUGGUUUUUGCAACAUAAACUUGUAUGUAAUGUACAUUUUAUAGUUCUUUACAAAUUAAUUGCUGCUAAAAUAAUUGUUUCGACUACUAUAUUUAUUGUUAUAAUAGAUAAACAUUUUCUUGCAACUCAAACAGUUCCAAUGGCAUGAUCUGCAUCCCCCGUUUGCCUCUUGGGCUACGAACCUGCUUAACAGCUGCACCAUCUUGCUCCUUUUCAUCAAACGGCAACUUCGCUGCAGACAAAAAGAGGGGGUACACUGCCCAGGGGCACCAUAAACGCAGCCCAAAAAGAUGAUUUUGUCUUUCCAUGUCUUAGUAUUUUAACCAAAAAUAAUAAUAAUAAUUCUUUACAUCAUCAAUGAUUGCACUUGUAAGCCAGGCAAUAGUUUUUUUAUUAAAUAAAAAAUUAAUGUUAAAUUUUUUUUUUUUUUUUUUUUUUUUUUAUCUAGCUAUCAUUGACUUAAUAUUUUGAAUCUUCAUCCAAAGUUAAGGCACAAAACUUUUAUUCUAAAUAAAUAUUCUCAAUAUAAAUUUAUCACUUAAAUAAUAAAUAAUAAGAUUUAACAUUAAUUCUGUCGUUACUGAAAUGAAUUGUAAAUUUUAUAUGACGUGUAAACGUAUCAUUAUGUUCUUGAUAUUUGACAUAUGAAUUAUAAAGCAACAAAUGUAUCAUAUUUUUAUUUCGGUAUUGUGCUUCUCCAUAUUUGCUUAAUUCUUUUCGUUGUACUCAUUGCUUCUCUUCCUCUUUUCGUCAACGACAAUGGGUAACCUAAUCUCAACCUUCUUACCAGCAGACUUAUUUGAUCGAAUUUCAAACUGCGUUGGUGAACAAGCAAAAUAUGUAUGGGGUCUCGAAAAAAAUCUUCGGAUCUUGGAGACUGAAUUGCACAAAUUGACUCGAGCAAGGGCCGAUCUGAAGACCAGGG
Molecule: long non-coding RNA, 16048 nt
Filed under: Citrus maxima (pomelo)
Lineage: Eukaryota; Viridiplantae; Streptophyta; Magnoliopsida; Sapindales; Rutaceae
Description: long non-coding RNA (CMAX_LNC000885)
Source: RNAcentral